RNAcentral lists this ribosomal RNA (253 nucleotides) under uncultured bacterium. Its description in RNAcentral is "partial 16S ribosomal RNA". It matches the Rfam family "Bacterial small subunit ribosomal RNA", at positions 524 to 776 of the family's 1533-position model. The record is from RNAcentral.
UACGGAGGGGGCUAGCGUUGUUCGGAAUUACUGGGCGUAAAGCGCACGUAGGCGGCUUUGUAAGUUAGAGGUGAAAGCCCAGGGCUCAACCCCGGAAUUGCCUUUAAGACUGCAUCGCUUGAAUUGUGGAGAGGUAAGUGGAAUUCCGAGUGUAGAGGUGAAAUUCGUAGAUAUUCGGAAGAACACCAGUGGCGAAGGCGACUUACUGGACACAUAUUGACGCUGAGGUGCGAAAGCGUGGGGAGCAAACAGG